Molecule: long non-coding RNA, 1123 nt
Organism: Polypterus senegalus (gray bichir)
Lineage: Eukaryota; Metazoa; Chordata; Cladistia; Polypteriformes; Polypteridae
Exons: 3
Source: RefSeq, a predicted model, not a curated record
AAAGUGUACAAAAUUAAAGUCUGCCAUUUUGAGUUCAGUUCACAAUGAUAAGACUGAGAUGAAGACGCCUCUGCUCCUCUUCAUCAACCUUAAUAACAUUCACAACCAUAAAAACUAAAGAUACAAAAUGGCUCACGACAGGCGGUUGACAGCCCUGACUUUACUGCUGAGUCUCCCCAGUCUGACGUUUCUCUUUCCUCCCUCCAUUGUGUUCACCUCCAUUGUUCUCAUAUUCAGCUCCACUCCUCCUUUCACCUUUUCAUGGGGGCUCAUGGUGGUCUUUUGUACUUUUCACUUUUUCUGCCCAAAGCCCAGAACACCAAACUUCUAAUUGUUUUCCUAUUCCAUUUGUCAAACAUCAUCACCCCGUCAUGUUCCAUAAUCACUUGAUUUACAGUUUUAUUAAUUCUGUUACUGCUGGCCAUUUUGUUUUCUGUUCUUUCAGGUUGAAGAUGAAGGAGGACCGGCCAUGAAGUUCAUCUCAGUGUAUCAGUUUCAUGAGGAGGACUUGGUUGGUGUCCCCACUUUUCUGCAGGUGGCCACAGUGUGCAGCAAAAAGAGAGCCUUGCAUUAUGGUGGACAUCAGGAGGAGACCUGAACAGCAGAACACAAAGCCCAAUCUCCUUCCAUGCUUGCCAGUGUAGCCCCUCUGUGCUGCAUGGACCGCUGAGGUCAAAGCGUCACCUACUGGCCCUGAGAUGACAGGAAUGACAGCAACUGGUGUGAUGGACAGCCGGUGGUCCUGCCCGGAUGGGACGCCCUUUAUGUGAGAAGACCAGAGGAAUAAGUGUACUACCACGAGUACCACCCCCAGGACACGAGAGGACAGCACCCUGGGUUUACAUCGGGACCACGGAUUUGGAGCUCAGAAGAUCAACCCCCUGGGGGUCCGUGGUCAUCACCAGGGGGCACCUGGACAGCUCCAGAGUCUGGGCAUACGGCACUUCUGCCACACCCAGAAGUUCUGCCGGAAGAGGAGCAGGGUUCCUAUGCAGUGCUUCCACCAAACGAGGCCACCUCACUCUAUUCAGAAGCCAGAGUGAAGAGGAGGAGGACAAAGCUUGGGAAGAGAGGACUAGAGGUGGCGAAAGGGAGAGAAGGACCGAAUACUGUGUUAGAGCAC